Molecule: long non-coding RNA, 382 nt
Organism: Myotis davidii
Lineage: Eukaryota; Metazoa; Chordata; Mammalia; Chiroptera; Vespertilionidae
Exons: 2
Source: RefSeq, a predicted model, not a curated record
UGUUGCUGAAACUUAGGGCUGAAGGCUAACCACCUGUUUCUUUCGCUUGCCUGAGUAAUUGAAUAGAUUGGGAACUGCAACCAGUAUUCCUUGAGUGAUAAUCACAUUCCUAGUGUUGUUCCAGGUGUGAGAGUAUUUUCAGAAGAGGACUAAAUGGAUAUGGCCACUGUGCUAAAUUAAGUUACAAAGGCUGCAGUUCUGUGAGAAGUAACAUACCUUUUGGGACUCUUGACGUCUUUUCAGCCUAACACUGUCCUGGACCAGAGCAGACAUUCAAUACAUAAGUUUGUAAUGAAUGAAUCCUCUAGGGAUACAUACAUGGUGUCCCUCCAAAAUGUAUACACACUUUAACAAUUUUGAAAAUGAAAUGUAUCUUAAUGAA